Molecule: ribosomal RNA, 253 nt
Filed under: uncultured bacterium
Lineage: Bacteria
Description: partial 16S ribosomal RNA
Rfam family: Bacterial small subunit ribosomal RNA
Source: RNAcentral
UACGUAGGCAGCAAGCGUUGUUCGGAGUUACUGGGCGUAAAGGGUGUGUAGGCGGGCCUUUAAGUCAGGGGUGAAAUGCCAAGGCUCAACCUUGGAACUGCCUUUGAUACUGGAGAUCUUGAGUCCGGGAGAGGUGAGUGGAACUGCGAGUGUAGAGGUGAAAUUCGUAGAUAUUCGCAAGAACACCAGUGGCGAAGGCGGCUCACUGGCCCGGAACUGACGCUGAGACGCGAAAGCGUGGGGAGCAAACAGG